CAAAUUAAGGUGGUACCUAACACUACAGGGAGAUAACUCUGUAAAGUCAGCUAAACGUUUUAAUUACGUUGUGUUGUAAAAGGAAUAUUAAGCUUCUCAAUGAUCAAAAUUGGCGUUUAUCAAAUUGCUAUAUAACCAGUGUAAUUUUUCUGACAAAAACGUUGUUCAAAUUUUUUUAAAUUUUUAUAUUUUUGUUUAAGUGUCAAAGUAAAUGCUUUGACAAAAUUUUAUGAAAAUUAAACGAGCCAAAUUAAUUUUAGUGAAAGUGUUGGGUACCAC
Molecule: long non-coding RNA, 279 nt
Filed under: Mytilus galloprovincialis (Mediterranean mussel)
Lineage: Eukaryota; Metazoa; Mollusca; Bivalvia; Mytilida; Mytilidae
Source: RNAcentral